Long non-coding RNA from Phyllostomus discolor (pale spear-nosed bat), 1559 nucleotides. RefSeq lists it as uncharacterized. The transcript is spliced from 3 exons. Lineage: Eukaryota; Metazoa; Chordata; Mammalia; Chiroptera; Phyllostomidae. The record is from RefSeq and is a predicted model, not a curated record.
CUACUACCCGGAAGUGGUUGAUAAACUAGGCCAAGUUCAAGGCCAUUGCCCAGAAGACCGUGAGAGCGGGUUCUUCCGCCACUGGCCACUGCCUGUGCACCGAGGGGGCCGCGUGGAGGAGGCCUCGCCGGUGCACUCAGGGUCGCGGGUCCGUGUGGAGACAGACGGCAGGACAGCUGACACACAGCCAGGGGCUGAAGCAUAGUGGGACAGACACGGGGGGCAGGGGCAGACCGAGGGGACACGCUGCCGUGCGGUCACUCGGCGGCUCUGUGCAGGUCAGCGGGUGGUGGGGGCCCAGGCACAGACGACCUAGCCCCCCUGCCCCGGGGGAAUGGAGAGAGAGUUCAGCAAAAACUGGUUUCUUAGCCUAAAAGCUUUUGCUAUAAAAGGAGAAAAAGAAAAAGUCAACCCUCACAAAAUGCGUUGUUUUGGUUCAAAGGUACCGGGUCCAUGGAGAGACAUGUCUCACAAAAAUCCGUCGGGGUUUUUGUUUCCACCUUUUCCCAUGAAUAAAUAUUAUCCAUUAAGAGCCUCGAAAAGGUGCUUAAAUACACAGUGUUAUAUUGUCUUCCUGUUUUGCAUCUGACAACUCCGUGGCCUUGGGCUGCUCUCCGUCUCACAUGUUCCUCGUGGGGGUCUCCAGAAACAAGUUACUGGGUCUGGCCCCCCCUCCAGGCCCUGCGCUGGCUGGCACGCAGCAGCCUCCACCCCAAGGUCCCAUCCCCUGCCCCACCCACCCCCUUCCUGCGGCCCCAGGGGAGGCGGCCCCCCAGGGCUGUGCGCGCCACAGUGACCUUGGGCCCCCUCUGCUGCCUCCGGCUCCUCCCAGGCACAAAUUUCAUCACUGCGGGUGGGGAGAGGGGACGGAGCGGUCCCAGUGGCCACCCACCGACCCGCCAGCCUUCCUCACCCCCACUACCCACUCUGGCCCUCUGCGCAGCGGUUUCACAAGGCGGAGACCUUGACCACGUUGCUGGCUAUGGAAGGAAUAUUAAGGCUGGAGCGACUGCGGCAGAAAAGGAGGGAGUCGUGGGCGGUGCCUCUUGCUGGCGCCCCGAUGUUUCCCUGACCCCAGACAUUUCUAGCUCAUGGUCACUAGAAGGAGCUUUCGGUGUCCCUCCUCCUCUGCUUUUUGGUGACCCGCCCGUAAGCAUCCACCCUCACUGUGCUGCCUGAACUACCGACAGCGGCCGCGGCGUGGUGUCGGGCUUUGGGGCGCAGAGUGUGCGUCCUCCCCUCCACUGGGCUGUUCGCCUGUCCCGUGUGGCACUCGACCUGUGCUUUCCCUGAAUUCCUUGCAACUCACUGGAGGUGGGGAGUGGGGGGAGUGGCCUGAAUAUGAGCAGAGAAAGGAGGGGGAAGUCCGUGAUUCAAAAUCAGCCUGGGAUGAGCCAUGUCUAACACAGUUGGGGAAAUUAUUUCCUUGGUCCGUUCUUUGCACUGGGGUAGGUCGUUUGUGGAUUUUGGCGGGGAGCUAUUUUUUCUGGUGUCCACUCACACAUUGGGCCUAAGCUGGCUAUCCUGUCCCCCAAAGCGUGUGAAGGGCCUCUGGGUUA